UACGGAGGGUGCAAGCGUUAUCCGGAUUCAUUGGGUUUAAAGGGAGCGUAGGCGGGCUUAUAAGUCAGUGGUGAAAUCUCCUUGCUUAACAAGGAAACUGCCAUUGAUACUGUAGGUCUAGAGUACAUUUGCUGUGGGCGGAAUAUGACAUGUAGUGGUGAAAUACUUAGAUAUGUCAUAGAACACCGAUUGCGAAGGCAGCUCACAAAAAUGUAACUGACGCUGAGGCUCGAA
Molecule: ribosomal RNA, 234 nt
Filed under: uncultured prokaryote
Description: partial 16S ribosomal RNA
Rfam family: Bacterial small subunit ribosomal RNA
Source: RNAcentral